CUUACCCUGUGUCUGCAGGCUGAGAUGUGACUACAUUUCCAUCCUCCUAUGGUAUCCCUGGCUCUGGGGCUAUAUUCAGAUUUGGGUCUGGAAUUCUCUCCUGUUCAUGGCUCUGAAAAGUCUCCAGAGGCAACUCCUCGCUAGAGGCACAUGCUGACCCAGUGCAGGGCCAGGUCUGUGUGUCAGAUAUCGUGUUCAAUUUCUAGGUCUGCCAGGGAGAUUAUACCAGGAAGAGAACUCCACUUCUACCUUCAUUGAACUCCUAUCUUAACUGACAACAAAGUAAAAUCGGAGACAAACUGUAGAUCCGUGACUCUAAGAUCAUCACUCUUCUAUUCUUCAAAGAGAAGCUUGCAUUAUAUAUUUUCUGCAUUUUGGUUGCCCAAUAAAAGUAAUAUUCUUUUGUAGAGUUUGUAUUUUGUUGCAUUUUACUGUAUGGCCAGCAUGGCUAGCCCUGAAUUUGAAUUUUGCUACAGCAGGGUAAAUUGACAGGUGUGAACAAAUAGACUGGUACUUACUUCCGUAAGGCUUUUACUUACAGCAAUGGUAAAAUUCUUUUAUUUGAACUACAAUGGAUAGGUUUUAGACGUUUCCCCAAAACUUUUGGUACAGGGAUUUCUUGAGAAAUUCAUAGGAAAUAGGUAGCUUUGAUCAAAAUGGAAGUUACUUUUCCCUUGCUAAUGAGUUGAUAUUUUAUUACCAUUUUGGUUUCUCAUCUUUGCUGUACUGAAAAAAGGAAAGCUAUACAGAAAACUAGACCCAACACAUUAUUACUAGACAAGAAUUAGAAAAUGUGGAACCCUGCAUAUGAGUUGGACUACAAAGCCAUUCUGGUUGGGGAAAAAUGGGAACUGUGGGCUAACAUGUCUGGUUGGUAACAAACCUAUGAUGGUUUCAUAGGGCUGCCAAGAUGUAUAUCCAAUUCAGAUGUGCCUAGAACACCUACUUAUGGCAUAUGUAUAAUUCAUGUUAGUUUAGGAUUCAAACAUAUAGCUGUAUUAAUCUGUAAUAUUUGUAUGCAGUAGGAUCUUGUAGCAGCUUUGAGACAAACAGAGAGAAAGAAAUGGAAGCAUAAACCUCAAAA
Molecule: long non-coding RNA, 1084 nt
Filed under: Anolis carolinensis (green anole)
Lineage: Eukaryota; Metazoa; Chordata; Lepidosauria; Squamata; Anolidae
Description: lncRNA (ENSACAG00000039756.1)
Source: RNAcentral